ACGAACGCUGGCGGCGUGCCUAAUACAUGCAAGUAGAACGCUGAAGAGAGGAGCUUGCUCUUCUUGGAUGAGUUGCGAACGGGUGAGUAACGCGUAGGUAACCUGCCUGGUAGCGGGGGAUAACUAUUGGAAACGAUAGCUAAUACCGCAUGAAAUUGCUUAUCGCAUGAUAAUUGAUUGAAAGAUGCAAUUGCAUCACUACCAGAUGGACCUGCGUUGUAUUAGCUAGUUGGUGAGGUAACGGCUCACCAAGGCGACGAUACAUAGCCGACCUGAGAGGGUGAUCGGCCACACUGGGACUGAGACACGGCCCAGACUCCUACGGGAGGCAGCAGUAGGGAAUCUUCGGCAAUGGGGGGAACCCUGACCGAGCAACGCCGCGUGAGUGAAGAAGGGUUUCGGAUCGUAAAGCUCUGUUGUAAGAGAAGAACGGGUGUGAGAGUGGAAAGUUCACACUGUGACGGUAUCUUACCAGAAAGGGACGGCUAACUACGUG
This 496-nucleotide ribosomal RNA is filed under the name uncultured bacterium. RNAcentral describes it as "partial 16S ribosomal RNA". It matches the Rfam family "Bacterial small subunit ribosomal RNA", at positions 29 to 507 of the family's 1533-position model. The record is from RNAcentral.